UCCCAGACUCCUACGGGAGGCAGCAGUGAGGAAUAUUGGUCAAUGGUCGGGAGACUGAACCAGCCAGGCCGCGUGAGGGAGGAAGGAACAGAGUAUCGUAAACCUCUUUUGUCAGGGAACAAAGGCGGGGACGUGUCCCCGGAUGAGUGUACCUGAAGAAAAAGCAUCGGCUAACUACGUUCCAGCAGCCGCGGUAAUACGUAGGGGGCAAGCGUUAUCCGGAUUUACUGGGUGUAAAGGGAGCGUAGACGGCAGCACAAGUCUGGAGUGAAAUCCCGGGGCUUAACCCCGGAACUGCUUUGGAAACUGGGCGGCUGGAGUGCAGGAGGGGUAAGCGGAAUUCCUAGUGUAGCGGUGAAAUGCGUAGAUAUUAGGAGGAACACCGGUGGCGAAGGCGGCUUACUGGACUGUAACUGACGUUGAGGCUCGAAAGCGUGGGGAGCAAACAGGAUUAGAUACCCCUGUAU
RNAcentral lists this ribosomal RNA (467 nucleotides) under uncultured bacterium. RNAcentral's name for it is "bacterial SSU rRNA". It matches the Rfam family "Bacterial small subunit ribosomal RNA", at positions 329 to 793 of the family's 1533-position model. The record is from RNAcentral.